Molecule: long non-coding RNA, 514 nt
Organism: Zingiber officinale
Lineage: Eukaryota; Viridiplantae; Streptophyta; Magnoliopsida; Zingiberales; Zingiberaceae
Exons: 2
Source: RefSeq, a predicted model, not a curated record
UAGGUAUUAUUUUCUCCCGAUCGGGUUUUUCUUCUCCUCACACGCAACGUCGUUCUUCUCUCGGGCGGAAACACGAAGGAGCUAGGGUUUUCCCUCCCUCAGGUGGCCGGCGAAGGUUUUUCCGGCCGAUCUUCACUCAACCAUGACCCUCUCGUCGUGGAGAGCACGCGGACCCGAAGGAGACGCCGAGACCUUCACCUCUCUGAACCCUAGAAGCCCUUCUUCUCGGUUGUAAGUCCAAGAAAUCAAUAUAAAGGAAAGGAAAGGAUAUAGCAAAGGAGGCGACAAGGUGGUGCGGUUGGUGUAUGAUGCCAGGACUGUGGGAGAGAACUGAGAAGUUUUGGCGUUUUCGUGUUUAGUGGAUAAGAAGUAAUUGAGUUGUACUUUAUAGUUGAUGUCAUUGAGACUGUAUUUUAUAUUCUAUGUUCCUAUUGAAUUAUUUGUGUUUUAGUUUGCAUGCUAUGAUGAGUUUCUAUGUAAUAGGUAGAUAUUAUAGUUUUUGUCACUUGUUAAA